This is a long non-coding RNA of Girardinichthys multiradiatus, 980 nucleotides long. RefSeq lists it as uncharacterized. NCBI's taxonomy places the organism in Eukaryota, Metazoa, Chordata, Actinopteri, Cyprinodontiformes, Goodeidae. The record is from RefSeq and is a predicted model, not a curated record. The transcript has 3 exons.
CAGCAGGUAGGGGACAAACUUGUGGAUGGAGCCUUUAUCCUGCACAGCUCCAGAGACGCCUUGAGCAACUUUGAUCUUGUCACUCUCACUGUGAAGGAAGAGAUGGAAAACUGAGUGUUGGUUAGCAGUCAGGGUGAGAGUCAUACUGUUGAUUGCCAUUGGAUACAUUGCCUCACAUCUAUCUUCUGAGGAGUUUGUUAUGCAGAGUCAUGACAGCAUGGGGCUUGGGAUACAACACAAGCCAAAUCAUCCACCCUUCAGCUGGCACAAGAAAUCUGGGCCGACAUGUUUGGUUUGCACUGUGCAUUAUAGCCACAAAUCUCCGCUGCAAUCUUCUUUUUAGAGAGAAGAGUUCCUGUGAAACCUUUUCCAAACAAGUCGGAGAGUUUUGGCAAUUAUUUUGAGAAUAGCACCGUCCUAAAUGUCCUUGCUGUUGGCCCACCAUGUCUACUGACUGGGAAUCUGUAUCAUUGGGUAGACCUUUUUUUUGUACACCUUUCCAGAUUCAUGGGCAGAAAUAGUUGCUUGUGUGAGGUUAUUGCAUGUGACGUUCCCAGAAACUCUGGCUCUUACAGAGGUGGUUCUCAUUGCCAUUUAUGCAUCUUACUUGAAUUGGUUUUGGUUUAGUCCUGAUCAGUUUAGCCCUUCCAUUGAAAGAGGAUGUGCCUUUAACCACGACUGUAUUAAGGUGAUGUGCACAUUUUCCCAAAACUCCUUCCUGCAAACUUCAGCUUUUUAAAGUAAAGUUCCUGGAAAAAUGUACCAACAUUUGCAUUAAAAAAGGCAUUUCCUAAAAUGUCUGCCACUCUUUUCUAGCAGGCUCAUCAGUCUUUGCCACAGGACACUGACGUCUAGAGACCACUGAAAAUGAAAUGAGGAAGAGGUGUUGAAAGCUGCAGAAAAAAAAAGGUUAUGGCAGGAGACGGUGUAUGUGAAAUGUUGUUGGGGUGUUGGUAUUAAAUCUGGUGUGUAUACCUGAA